RNAcentral lists this ribosomal RNA (367 nucleotides) under uncultured bacterium. Its description in RNAcentral is "bacterial SSU rRNA". It matches the Rfam family "Bacterial small subunit ribosomal RNA", at positions 28 to 377 of the family's 1533-position model. The record is from RNAcentral.
GAUGAACGCUGGCGGCGUGCUUAACACAUGCAAGUCGAGCGAAGCGAUUUAAGUGAAGUUUUCGGAUGGAUCUUAAAUUGACUGAGCGGCGGACGGGUGAGUAACGCGUGGAUAACCUGCCUCACACAGGGGGAUAACAGUUAGAAAUGACUGCUAAUACCGCAUAAGCGCACGGUACCGCAUGGUACAGUGUGAAAAACUCCGGUGGUGUGAGAUGGAUCCGCGUCUGAUUAGGUAGUUGGUGAGGUAACGGCCCACCAAGCCGACGAUCAGUAGCCGACCUGAGAGGGUGACCGGCCACAUUGGGACUGAGACACGGCCCAAACUCCUACGGAGGCAGCAGUGGGGGAAUAUUGCACAAUGGGCG